This 955-nucleotide ribosomal RNA is filed under the name uncultured bacterium. RNAcentral's name for it is "bacterial SSU rRNA". It matches the Rfam family "Bacterial small subunit ribosomal RNA", at positions 522 to 1478 of the family's 1533-position model. The record is from RNAcentral.
AAUACGGAGGGUGCAAGCGUUAAUCGGAAUUACUGGGCGUAAAGCGCGCGUAGGUGGCUUGAUAAGCCGGUUGUGAAAGCCCCGGGCUCAACCUGGGAACGGCAUCCGGAACUGUCAAGCUAGAGUGCAGGAGAGGAAGGUAGAAUUCCCGGUGUAGCGGUGAAAUGCGUAGAGAUCGGGAGGAAUACCAGUGGCGAAGGCGGCCUUCUGGACUGACACUGACACUGAGGUGCGAAAGCGUGGGUAGCAAACAGGAUUAGAUACCCUGGUAGUCCACGCCGUAAACGAUGUCGACCAGCCGUUGGGUGCCUAGCGCACUUUGUGGCGAAGUUAACGCGAUAAGUCGACCGCCUGGGGAGUACGGCCGCAAGGUUAAAACUCAAAUGAAUUGACGGGGGCCCGCACAAGCGGUGGAGCAUGUGGUUUAAUUCGAUGCAACGCGAAGAACCUUACCUACUCUUGACAUCCUGCGAAUUCGGUAGAGAUACCUUAGUGCCUUCGGGAACGCAGAGACAGGUGCUGCAUGGCUGUCGUCAGCUCGUGUUGUGAAAUGUUGGGUUAAGUCCCGUAACGAGCGCAACCCUUGUCCUUAUUUGCCAGCGCGUAAUGGCGGGAACUCUAAGGAGACUGCCGGUGACAAACCGGAGGAAGGUGGGGACGACGUCAAGUCAUCAUGGCCCUUACGAGUAGGGCUACACACGUGCUACAAUGGUCGGUACAAAGGGUUGCCAACUCGCGAGAGUGAGCCAAUCCCGAAAAGCCGAUCUCAGUCCGGAUCGGAGUCUGCAACUCGACUCCGUGAAGUCGGAAUCGCUAGUAAUCGUAGAUCAGAAUGCUACGGUGAAUACGUUCCCGGGCCUUGUACACACCGCCCGUCACACCAUGGGAGUGGACUGCACCAGAAGUGGUUAGCCUAACGCAAGAGGGCGAUCACCACGGUGUGGUUCAUGACUGG